RNAcentral lists this ribosomal RNA (468 nucleotides) under uncultured bacterium. Its description in RNAcentral is "partial 16S ribosomal RNA". It matches the Rfam family "Bacterial small subunit ribosomal RNA", at positions 28 to 507 of the family's 1533-position model. The record is from RNAcentral.
GACGAACGCUGGCGGCGUGCUUAACACAUGCAAGUCGAACGGACAGGCCCUGCUCUUGUGGGGUGCUCGAGUGGCGAACGGGUGAGUAACACGUGAGUAACCUGUCCUUGACUUUGGGAUAACUUCAGGAAACUGGGGCUCUUAUAGGAUAGGAGCUCCUGCUGCACGGUGGGGGAUGGAAAGUUUCGGCGGUUGGGGAUGGACUCGCGGCUUAUCAGCUUGUUGGUGGGGUAGUGGCUUUCCAAGGCUUUGACGGGUAGCCGGCCUGAGAGGGUGACCGGCCACAUUGGGACUGAGAUACGGCCCAGACUCCUACGGGAGGCAGCAGGGGAGAAUAUUGCACAAUGGGCGGAAGCCUGAUGCAGCAACGCCGCGAGCGUGAUGACGGCCUUCGGGUUGUAAACCGCUUUCGCCUGUGACGAAGCGUGAGUGACGGUAAUGGGUAAAGAAGCACCGGCUAACUACGUG